Molecule: ribosomal RNA, 644 nt
Filed under: uncultured bacterium
Lineage: Bacteria
Description: bacterial SSU rRNA
Rfam family: Bacterial small subunit ribosomal RNA
Source: RNAcentral
AGAGUUUGAUCAUGGCUCAGAUUGAACGCUGGCGGCAUGCCUUACACAUGCAAGUCCAACGGGACAUGGGGCUUGCUCCAUGUUUAGUGGCGAACGGGUGAGUAAUAUAUCGGAACGUACCCUAGAGUGGGGGAUAACUAGUCGAAAGGCUAGCUAAUACCGCAUACGAUCUAAGGAUGAAAGUGGGGGACCGCAAGGCCUCACGCUCGUGGAGCGGCCGAUAUCUGAUUANCUAGUUGGUGAGGUAAAGGCCCACCAAGGCAUCGAUCAGUAGCUGGUCUGAGAGGACGAUCAGCCACACUGGGACUGAGACACGGCCCAGACUCCUACGGGAGGCAGCAGUGGGGAAUUUUGGACAAUGGGCGAAAGCCUGAUCCAGCAAUGCCGCGUGAGUGAAGAAGGCCUUCGGGUUGUAAAGCUCUUUUGUCAGGGAAGAAACGGUUUGGGCUAAUACCCUAGGCUAAUGACGGUACCUGAAGAAUAAGCACCGGCUAGCUACGUGCCAGCAGCCGCGGUAAUACGGAGGGUGCGAGCGUUAAUCGGAAUUACUGGGCGUAAAGGGUGCGCAAGCGGUUGUGCAAGACAGAUGUGAAAUCCCCGGGCUUAACCUGGGGAAUUGCAUUUGUGACUGCACCGGCUAGAGG